RNAcentral lists this unclassified non-coding RNA (347 nucleotides) under soil metagenome. Its description in RNAcentral is "partial contains 5.8S ribosomal RNA, internal transcribed spacer 2, and large subunit ribosomal RNA". The stretch from base 1 to 120 matches the Rfam family "5.8S ribosomal RNA", at positions 35 to 154 of the family's 154-position model. The record is from RNAcentral.
GAUGAAGAACGUAGUGAAAUGCGAUAAUUAAUGUGAAUUGCAGAAUUCAGUGAAUCAUCGAGUCUUUGAACGCACAUUGCGCCGCCUGGUAGUCCGGGGGGCAUGCCUGUCCGAGCGUCAUUGCUGCCCUCAAGCACGGCUUGUGUGUUGGGCUUCCGUCCCUGGCAACGGGGACGGGCCCAAAAGGCAGUGGCGGCACCAUGUCUGGUCCUCGAGCGUAUGGGGCUUUGUCACCCGCUCCCGUAGGUCCAGCUGGCAGCUAGCCUCGCAACCAAUCUUUUUAACCAGGUUGACCUCGGAUCAGGUAGGGAUACCCGCUGAACUUAAGCAUAUCAAUAAGCGGAGGA